RNAcentral lists this ribosomal RNA (53 nucleotides) under Diaporthe sp. Its description in RNAcentral is "partial 18S ribosomal RNA". It matches the Rfam family "Eukaryotic small subunit ribosomal RNA", at positions 1780 to 1831 of the family's 1831-position model. Lineage: Eukaryota; Fungi; Ascomycota; Sordariomycetes; Diaporthales; Diaporthaceae. The record is from RNAcentral.
AAGUAAAAGUCGUAACAAGGUCUCCGUUGGUGAACCAGCGGAGGGAUCAUUGC